Molecule: ribosomal RNA, 163 nt
Filed under: uncultured bacterium
Lineage: Bacteria
Description: partial 16S ribosomal RNA
Rfam family: Bacterial small subunit ribosomal RNA
Source: RNAcentral
UAGGGAAUCUUCCACAAUGGACGAAAGUCUGAUGGAGCAACGCCGCGUGUGUGAUGAAGGCUUUCGGGUCGUAAAGCACUGUUGUAUGGGAAGAACAGCUAGAAUAGGAAAUGAUUUUAGUUGACGGUACCAUACCAGAAAGGGACGGCUAAAUACGUGCCAG